Oncorhynchus tshawytscha (Chinook salmon) is the source of this 668-nucleotide long non-coding RNA. The record is from Ensembl. Lineage: Eukaryota; Metazoa; Chordata; Actinopteri; Salmoniformes; Salmonidae.
UGACGGGCUGUGUAGGGUUGAGGUAGUGACGGGCUGUGUAGGAUUGAGGUAGUGAUGGGCUGUGUAGGGUUGAGGUAGUGACGGGCUGUGUAGGGUUGAGGUAGUGAUGGGCUGUGUAGGGUUGAGGUUGUGACGGGCUGUGUAGGGUUGAGGUAGUGACGGGCUGUGUAGGGUUGAGGUAGUGACGGGCUGUGUAGGGUUGAGGCAGUGACGGGCUGUAUAGGGUUGAGGUAGUGACGGGCUGUGUAGGUUUGAGGUAGUGAUGGGCUGUGUAGGGUUGAGGUAGUGACGGGCUGUGUAGGGUUGAGGUAGUGACGGGCUGUGUAGGGUUGAGGUAGUGACGGGCUGUGUAGGGUUGAGGUAGUGACGGGCUGUCUUGGCUUGACGUAGCGACGGGCUGUGUAGGGUUGAGGUAGUGACGGGCUGGGUAGGGUUGAGGUAGUGACUGGCUGUGUAGGGGUGAGGUAGUGACGGGCUGUGUAGGGUUUGAGGUAGUGAUGGGCUGUGAGGUAGGGUUGAGGUAGUGACGGGCUGUGUAGGGUUGAGGUAGUGACGGGCUGUAUAGGGUUGAGGUUGUGACGGGCUGUGUGAGGGUUGAGGUAGUGACGGGCUGUAUAGGGUUGAGGUAGUGACGGGCUGUGGGUUGAGGUAGGGGCUGUUGGGUUGAG